UUGAGGGCGAGGUCUGAACCCUCCAGACGGAGACGCUUGAGAUGGGAAGAGCCCACUUUGACUAAUUCAUUACGAAAAUAAUCGACAUCUUGCUCUUGCAAUUCACUUAACUCAAGGUCUUCAAUUCUCUGCAGUUGCACGAUCAGCGAAUCCUUCAAGCAAAUCUUGUUAUUUAGCUCGACUCUGAAUUGACGACACCAAAUGCCGGUUUUCCUCGAAAAAUAACGUCGAAUAUAUAUGCUGUACCUUUCCAGCUUCUCCAAGAGCAGGCCUCUGGGCAGACUGCUGACGUCACGGACGUGUACUUCCAAAGAGGUCAAGUUGGGCAAAUGCUUCAAUUCCUCAAGGCUUGCAUUCUUAACCCCUUCCACCUCCUCCUCCCAAUCAACAAAGCUUUCACGACCUAUAUAUAGUUCUUCUAAAUGUGAUAAUUUUGACAGUAUAUUUGGUGGAAUAACUUUCAGAAAACAACAAUCCCUCAAAUCAAGCAACUUUAGCCAAGUCAAUUCACCUACUUCUACUGGCAACUUCACAAUAUCAGAACCUCUUAAGCAAAGGAUUUCUAGUUUCUUCAAGUAUCCUACAAAACUUAUAUCAGGCAAGCCGCAGCUACACAAACUCAGUGUUCGAAGGUUUGACAGGAGACCAAGUGAUGAAGGCAGUAUCAUGUCAGUCAAGUUUACAACUCUGACCUCGAUCAUGCUCUUGAAAAAGUUGUCUGGAAUUGUUACUGGUGAAGUUUCCCAAGGAUCAUCACGACCACCACCACGUAUAAAAAGAAGUUCGAGUUGAGGACAUUCCAGUACUUCAGGAAGCAAAUUAGGCUUAAUACCAUGUAAGACGAUUGAAGUGAAAUGCUUUAUUGUACUUCCGUCUGACCAUUCCCUGCAACCAUCAACCUGCUCAUUUGUAGCAGUAAACACAUUUCGUUUAGUAGAUGCAAUUGAUAUGGCGACAUGGCGAACUACAUCAUGCAUAGAAAACAACUCUUCCUUCUCGCUUUCAUGGUCAAGCAACAUACAAGAAGCUUUGAGUGUGCGCACCAAUGCAUGUACUCGAUUUCGUGCUGCUUCCAUCUUAUUCACACCUUGAAAUAAACCCAAUCCCAUACCACACAUUAACAAGUCAUCAAUAGAUGCUAUGGCUGUAUAUCCUAUUAGCAAAAAGAUGUUCUUGAGAUCAUCCCUUCCUAGUUUAUUGUAGCUCAACUCGAUAGCUUUAUAUGCAGCUGGCUGUACAUCCUUAAAAUGGAACACAAGUGACCACAACAAGAUGGAACAAAAUAAAAAGGAAAAAAAUACAAAGAGUGGAUGGAGAAUAAAACAGAGACAGCGGCACAGCUGGACACAACUAGAUAGAGAACAGAGCAAAACCAAAUAACAAGACUUAAGAUUACAACAAACUGUGAAGAUAGCUCAUUAUGGAGAAAGAAGCAAUGGAAAGCAGAAGAAGGAAAAGCUUAAGUUGAAGCAGGAUACAGAGUAUAGUAGCAGCUCAGUUGCCAGCUCAGCAUAGUUAGUUUCAGUUCGUUAGAAGUGCAAAAUGUAUUGUGAUGAGUAUUAGCUAAUAACUUCCUUAAUUAGUUACAUUGAUUGUGAUUAACUAGAUGUUAGUAUAAAUACUCACGAAUUGUAUUACUCUGUAAUUAAGGAAAAUAACAAACUCUGCUCAAGAGUAUUUCAGAAUCCUUCGUUUAAUAUUUUCUCUAGAAACAAACAACUCUCUUUUAUAAUUCUUUUAUGGUAUCAGAGCCACUCAUGGCUAGUUCAAGCAAUACAAUCUUCAAUCCAAAUCAUAUUACUUCAAAUCAAUCAACUCAGAUAUCAUUUUCCUUUAGUUCUCCAGUCAAGCUAGAUAGAUCGAAUUUUAUGCUAUGGCGCAAGCAAGUUCUUACUUCGAUUAGAGGAAAUCGACUUGAGCAUCUAAUUUCUGAUAAUCAAGUGACACCAGAUCGUUACAUUACUCACACGGAAGUUGAUGGAUCUAUACAGAAAGUAGAAAAUCCAGCUUUUGUUCAUUGGAGAGCACAGGAUCAAACUCUUCUUGGCUGGAUCUUAUCCUCAAUUAGCGAAGGUAUUCUCAGCUCAAUUCUUAACUGUGAUAGUGCAUUUGAAGCUUGGAAAUGCAUUGAAAAACAAUUUGGAGUUCAAUCUGAAGCUAAGCUCAUGCAACUUCGUUAUGAACUAAAUAUUCUUAGGAAAGAAAAUAUGACUGUUGAGGAAUACUGCUUGAAGGUUAAAGCACUUGCUGAUAAACUCGCAUGUUCUGGAAGUCCUAUUUCUGAAAAAGAUCUACUGAUACAAAUCUUGAAUGGAUUAGGUCCAGGAUACUUAGAUCUUGCAUCAAUAAUUACUGCUAAUAAAAUGUCAUAUGAUGAUGCAUAUGCACUGCUAUUAACGCAUGAAGCUAGAAUGGAACAAAGUCAAAAUGCUAAGAGUGUGUUUAAUGCCAAUUAUGGCAUGAUGAAUGGGAAUUAUCCUCAAACUAAGGGCUAUAAUAGAAGAGGAGGUUAUAAUGGAUAUCAGGGACACUUCAAUGCUGGAAAUAGAAAUUUUGGUGCAGGAAGGGGAAUAAUGUUUACAAAUUCAAGAGGAUUUGUCAAUGGUGGUCAUGGUCCUGGUGCUUAUAAUUCUGGUAGGGGACAACUAAUGCACAUGCAGGCAUAUAGACCAACCACUUAUAAUAGAAACAUCUCUAAUGCUAACCUUGGUGCUGAAAAUGGAUCUGGAGAUAAUGUAUUAAUAUGUCAAAUUUGUCAUAAGUCUGGGCACACUGCAGAUGCUUGUUGGUAUAGGUUUGAGAAUUAUGUGCCUCCACCCAGAAACUUUGGAAGAGGGAGAGGUCAAAGGUCAGCAUAUAUGGCAAAUUUUGAAUCAUGUCCAAGUGCUGCUGGAUAUCCAAGUGCUGCUGGACCUUUUGAAACACAAUAUUAUCCAGACUACUCUAGUCAUCAGAUGUCUGAUUUGAAUUCAAUGAAUCACUCACUGGACUCUUUCUCUGCUCCUGGAGCUGCCUAUGUUGCUAACUAUGAAAGACCAGCUGAUGAGGGUUGGUAUUUAGACAGUGGAGCCACACAUCAUUUGACAAACAACAUGGCAAAUAUGCACAUCAGGGAGCAAUUCAGUGGAUCAGAUCAACUCAUUAUUGGCAAUGGACAAGGUCUGAAUAUAACUCAUAUUGGUGAUGCUUUUCUCAAUUUCAAAAGUUCAAAUGACAAACACAAACACACACCCAUAGCACUAAAAGACAUAUUGCUUGUUCCUUCAAUUACUAAGAACCUUUUGAGCAUUUCUAAACUUACUGCUGAUAAUAACCUGUCUGUUGAAUUUCUUGGAAAUAUCUGUGUUGUGAAGGAUACUCUGAAGGGGCAAAUACUGAUGCAGGGCCUUGCUGAGAGAGGAUUAUACAGGCUGUUAAUAAAUUCAUCUUCUUCAAAUACUCAGUCAUCUUCUUCUUUUCAUUCCCAUAUGUCUUCUAAUAAACCACUUUCAAUGUUGUCCUUUUAUCAUUCUGAUUCUGCUGGUCACACUGAUGUCGUUAGUGGAACUGCAAAUUUGAAAACUUGUUAUCAGACUGCUGUAUUACAUUAUACUAAAUCAAUCAAUAAAGCUUUACUUUUUCAUAGAAGAUUUGGUCAUCCUAGUGUUCAAGUGCUAUUACAUAUGCUCAAAAUUAACAAGUACAUUUCCAUUCCUACAUAUCAAAUUCAUCAAAUGCAUCAAACAACAUGUGAAGCAUGUCAAAAGGGCAAAGUUCAUAGGCUUCAUUUUCCCUGCACAGACACUAAAACUACCCAAGUUCUUGAGCUCAUACACACAGACUUAUGGGGACCCUCACCCACUCUAUCUAGGGAUGGAUAUCGAUAUUAUAUAAGCUUUGUUGAUGACUUCAGCAGAUAUACCUGGAUAUACCUUUUAAAAGUUAAGUCAGAUGCAUUAGAAGUUUUCAAACUCUUCAAGUUGCAAGUGGAAAAUCAGUUUACCACCACCAUUAAAACUCUGCAAUCUGACUGGGGAGGGGAGUAUAGAUCUUUUACAGAAUUUCUAAACCAAUCUGGUAUUAUCUUUAGGCAUUCAUGUCCUUAUACACAUCAUCAAAAUGGAUUGGUUGAGAGGAAACAUAGGCAUAUUGUAGAAUCAGGAUUAACUCUGCUGGCUCAAGCUCAUUUACCUUUUCAAUUCUGGUGGGAUGCCUUCCAUACAGCAGUUUACCUUAUCAACAGAUUGCCAUCACCUGUUCUGAAAUUUUCAAACCCAUAUGAAAAGAUUUUCAAGCAUAAGCCUAAUUAUGAUAUGCUCAGAUGCUUUGGCUGCACAUGUUACCCUUAUUUAAGAGAUUACAACAAACAUAAAUUUGCCUAUCACUCUAGCAAAUGUGUAUUCAUUGGGUAUAGUCCAUCACAUAAGGGUUAUAAGUGCUUACAUGCUUCAGGAAAAAUUUAUAUUGCCAGACAUGUUGUCUUUGAUGAGUUCACUUUUCCAUAUACCACAGACUCUUCUUUUCUUAAACAUUCAGCCUCUGAUUCUCAGUCUUCAUAUUCUAUUACUCCUCAACAAGUUCAUCAUCUUUCUACUUCACCUAUCCUACCAAUAUUUCUCAAUGACAACACUAAUAAUGCAAUCUCAGUGAGUUCAGAAAGCAUUGGUACAAGCACUUCAGUUCAUCCUACACAGCAAGAAGUUAAUCUAGAAUCACAGCAAGGUACGAUCAGUAACUCUUCACCUGUUCUUAUGUGUCCAUCCUCAGUUUAUGAACCUGUACCUAAUUCAUCACUUCCCCAUACUCACAACUCCCCUCAACAACAGUUCAAUAAUCCCAUUACACAUUCUCAUACACCUCAGAAUACACACCAAAUGAUAACUAGGGGAAAAGCUGGUAUCUUCAAACCCAAAGUGUAUAUUGCUGAUCUUGUUCACAAAGAACCAGACACUAUACAUGAAGCAUUAAAUGACUCAAAAUGGCUACAAGCCAUGAAGGAGGAGUUUGAUGCUUUAAUAAAAAAUGAUACAUGGACAUUGGUUCCAAGAGCAGCUAAUCAGCAAGUUGUUGAGAAUAAAUGGAUUUACAUAAUUAAGUACAAUACUGAUGGAAGUGUGGCUAAAUACAAGGCACGGCUAGUUGCUAAAGGAUUCCAACAAAUAGCAGGUGUAAACUAAUUUGAAACCUUCAGUCCUGUUAUUAAACCAGCAACUGUCAAAGUGGUAUUUGUUGAGUGUUAGAAAAUGUAUAUUUAUAAAGGAGAAAACCGUCAUUUUACAUUUCAAGUCUUACUAACAACCCUUACUUUUAUGUAUUUAACCUCCUUGUGAUUUAAUUACAUGUGUUUUAUUUUAAUUAAGUAUUUUAUGUAUUUUAGGGGCAUUAUAGUCAUUUCACAAUAAAGGAGAGAUCAGACGGCAAAACGGACAUCACUUUUGAACUCAGGACGAUCGAAAACCUUAGGAGGAGCAUAAAAGGAAAAAUGGCACUAUUCACAUGUACGGUACUAUUCACGUGUACGGUACUGUAUACGUUACUGUUCACGACACUGUUCACAUAGACGGACGAUGACGUGGCAUUGACCGAUGAUGUGGCAUUGACUGAUGAGGUGUCACGAUCCUGUUGGGCUAAAAUUCUUAUGUACUGUUGAUGCUGACGUGGCAGCAUAUCAGUGGAUGAAAAAUCUCGCGUACGGUACAUACAUCACACAGGAUUAUUUUCAAUCAAACCGCAUUACUGUUCAUCCGGGUCAAACCGUGUUACUGUUCAUCCGCGUGGUCAAACCGUGGACUGUUGACUGAUGACGUGGCGCAAUCCUGAGCGUUCAAACUGUUUUUAAUCCGAUGGCCAUGAUUUACUCCAUGUAUCUAUAAAAAGGGGGCCUCUCCCCCCUAAUUUGAUAUCUCUGAAUCCAUUUUUGGGAUCCAUUUUCUGUAAUUCCCUCUCCAUCUUGUAUUUUCUUCGUAUUUUAAUAAAUUCCCAUUUUGCCCCUAGUUCAAUUAUGAGUAGCUAAUUUCCUUUCAAGCUUGGGUUGAAGGUGAAGUCUCAACAUAUGCCAUGGGCUUAAUUUGGUAAAUUUAUUUUCUCUUCCCCUCUAGUUUUUGUGGAUGUUUUGACUUCUCGUCGACAAAUAAUACUAAUCUUAUCUAGUACCGCCUUGGUUUCACCGGCCCUCUAGUACAAGGUUAUUAUUAUUUGGCACGAUAAGCCCUUAGCACCAUAUUGAUUAGAGUGUGGUUCAUGAGGUGUGGAUUUCCCCCUCAUGAUUUAAUUGGUAUUAAUAAGGAAUAUUUAGCCCAUGGUGCAUGUUGAUACGGAUCCGGAUACCCAAGUGCUUCAUUUCAAUAGAUCUAUCUUCAAUUUAUUCUCGCCAUUACAAUUCCAAUUUUAGAAUUUAUUCUCGCCAUUUUAAUUUAAGUUUUAGCAUAUUCCAAAUCAUUUCCACCACAAAUCCAAUCCCCGAUUUACAAAAUUAAUUCUAUACACAAUUAAAAUCCACCUCCUCGUGGGAUCGACACUCGUCACCAUUAGUCUAUACUACAAUAGAUUUGUGCGCUUGCGAGUACAUUAAAAUUUGCACAACAAGUUUUUGGCGCCGUUGCCGGGGAGGUAAGUAAUUUUAAUUCAUAAAAUUAAUUUUUGUGAAUAAUUUCUUUUAUUUGUUUUCUUGUAUUUUUUAUUAAAAAAAAAAGUAAAUCUACAUUUAAAGGUUAGUAUUUCUUUUCUUUUUCUCUUCUUUAAAAUUCUGUAAUUUAAUUUUCAAUUUAUUUUUUCUUUGUAAUUUUUGUUUAUUUUAUUAAUUUAAUUUUUAGUUAAUUUAUUUCACGUAUUUGUUUUUGUGUAUUUUUAUAGAAAGGUUGUAAUAGCGCAAUAAGGUUAGUAUCGUAAUUUCUCCCUCUUCUUUAUUUUUAUUUGUUUUGUUCCCAUCUUUAUUUUUAUUUUAUUUGUUUUGCAUGCAUGGUCGUAGGUCAUUAUUACCUAAUCUUAAACCUAUAGACCUUGAAUUAGAAAAAACACUUCGCACACAAAAGCACAUUAAUAAAUUUGGAAUGGAUUUACAAGCACCACAGGAGAGGUCAUUCAAGGACUAUUUUAGUCCUUUAGCUAAUUUGAGCACAUCAUGUAUAAGAUACCCAAAUGUAGCUACUAGGAGUUUUGAAUUAAAACCUAGUGUGCUAAAUUGUCUCCCCACAUUUUAUGGCCUAGAAAAUGAGGACCCAUAUAAUCAUCUGAAUGAUUUUCAUGCCAUUUGUCAAACUUUUAAAUAUGAAAAUUUUUCAGACGAUGAUGUUAAACUUAGAUUAUUCCCAUUUUCUUUAAAGGAUAGAGCUCGUUCAUGGUUAAAUACUUUGCCUGCUAAUAGCAUUGCAUCAUGGGAACAAAUGGUAACUAAAUUUUUGAAUAAAUAUUUCCCAGUGCAUAAAACCAAUGCUAUUCGCAGGGAAAUCUCAGAGUUUACUCAGAGAGAGGACGAGCAGUUUUUCGAGACAUGGGAGCGAUUCAAUGGGCUACUCUUGAAGUGUCCACAUCAUGGGUACGAGAAAUGGCAUCAAUGCCAAUACUUUUUGGAGGGAUUAUUGCCGAAUGUGCAAGAAUGGCUAAUGGCAACAAGUGGAGGAGAGCUAAUAUCAAAAAGUGCAUCAGAGAUUUGGGAAUUCUUCCAGCGACAAGCGGAUAAUUCCCAACAACGGAGUCGAUCACUCAGGAAUACUAGAAGAAUUAAGGGAGUAAAUGAGGUUCAAAUUGGCGAGUCAACUUCGGGAAUCAAAGAAGUCAAGGAGAUGGUUGAAGGUCUUGCUCGACAAAUAGCAUCGUUGUCGACUGCUAAAUCAACAGAACCACAUGACCAUGACUCAUACUCCGAUCAAGCCAAUGCCAUAGGUGUAAUCAGAAAACCAUCGAAUUACAACCCAUACUCCAACACAUAUAACCCUGGAUGGAGAGACCAUCCCAAUUUUUCAUGGUCUCAAGGAUUCCAACAGAAUGGACCAGCAGCUCCAGCUCCGCCAAUUCCUCAAGUUCCUCAAGCCUCUCAGCCCCCAUUUAGACCAUACAAUCAGAACCAGAACUACUCUCAACCUAGACCAUGGGAGGAUUCAUUCCAGAAUCUCAAGAAUCUUACUCACUCUACGAUUGAGCAACAGAACCGCACCAUUGAUGGACUACGAAAUGAGUUGAGAGCGGGCUUCAACUCACAAGCCCAAUCAGUUUCAAGCCUCGAGAAGAUGGUGGGACAACUUGCUUCUUCAGUUCAGACCUUGGCAAUGACUGUUGAUAAAGGUAAAUUUCCAAGUCAACCAGUGCCUAAUCCUAAAGGAGUACAUGAAGCAAGUACUAGUUCACCACAGCAGCAUGGAGAGGUCAAAGCAAUCAUGACCUUGCGAAAAGGAAAGGAAGUCGACAACAAAGUGGAGAUGCCUGUGACAAAAGAAAAUCAAAUUGUACCUGUGAAUGUUGAAGACUCACCACCGGAGGAGAAAGAAGAAACCAACCCACGAGAAUACGUUCCGAAAGCUCCAUUUCCUCAGAGGUUAGCGAAAGGAAAGAAGGGAAAAUCCACAGGUGAGAUUCUUGAAAUCUUCAAACAGGUAAGUGUUAACAUCCCUUUGCUUGAUGCUAUUAAACAAGUUCCAUCUUAUGCCAAGUUUCUUAAAGACCUUUGUACUAAAAAGAGAAACAUGCAUGUUCAAAAGAAGGCAUUUUUAACAGAAAACGUUAAUUCUAUACUCCAACAUAAAAUUCCUUUAAAAUGCAAAGACCCAGGCUCCCCCACUAUCUCAUAUAGUAUAGGGAACCACACAAUUGAGAAUGCUUUGUUGGAUUUAGGAGCUAGUGUAAAUCUGUUGCCUUACUCAGUAUUUUUGAAACUUGGACUGGGAGAAUUACACCCAACUCCAGUGGUGUUACAGCUUGCAGAUCGGUCCACGAAAAUACCUCGUGGUAUUGUGGAGGACGUGCUUAUCCAGGUAGACAAGUUUUAUUUUCCUGUUGAUUUCAUUGUAAUUGACACUCAACCAAUACAGGAUUCAAGGAAGCACAUCCCCAUUAUCCUAGGCCGACCUUUCUUGGCAACUGCGGAUGCUCACAUUCAAUGCAGGACUGGAAAUAUGCAGUUGUCCUUCGGCAACAUGACUAUGGAGCUAAAUAUUUUCAACAUUGCCAAACAACCUCACAGUGCAGAUGAUGGAAUUGUUGAUGUGGAUUUAAUUGAAGCAUUAGUUGAUGACACUUUUAUUUCAAACCUUAGUGAUGAUCCUUUACAGACAUGCUUAACUCACUUUGGUUUUGAUUUUGAUAUUGACAGAUCGGUUGAUGAGGUCAACGCUCUACUUGACUCAACACCAUCCAUGGACACUAAUAAAUGGAAGUCAAGAGUUGAACAACUAGCACCAUCAGAAAAGAAACUCAUCCCAUCAUCAGAAUCACCACCGAAACUCGAGCUCAAACCAUUGCCCAACACUCUGGAAUAUGCAUUUUUGGGAGAAGAAAGUACUCUGCCGGUAAUCAUCUCAUCAUCCCUAAAUGACGAACAAAAAGGUAAGUUGUUGGAUGUUUUAAAAGAGCAUAAAGGAGCAUUAGGAUGGACCAUAGCAGACAUAAAAGGUAUAAACCCCGUAGACUGCAUGCAUUACAUUCACCUUGAUGAAAAUGCUAAAUCUACUAGGGAAAUGCAACGUCGGUUAAAUCCUAAUAUGAAAGAAGUUGUUAGAACUGAAGUCCUUAAGCUAUUAGACGCAGGUAUCAUUUACCCAAUUUCUGAUAGUUCAUGGGUCAGUCCUGUACAAGUUGUCCCCAAAAAGUCAGGAGUCACAGUAGUUACCAAUGCUGAUAAUGAAUUGAUACCAACUAGAGUAACUACAGGAUGGCUUGUAUGCAUUGAUUAUAGAAAGUUGAAUUCUGUCACACGUAAAGACCAUUUUCCUUUACCAUUUAUUGAUCAAAUGCUUGAUAGAUUAGCAGGCCAUGAAUUUUAUUGCUUUCUAGAUGGCUACUCAGGAUAUAAUCAGAUUCCCAUAGCACCAAAAGAUCAGGAGAAAACUACUUUCACUUGCCCUUUUGGCACUUUUGCAUAUAGGAGAAUGCCAUUUGGAUUAUGUAAUGCACCUGCUACAUUCCAACGAUGCAUGUUGAGCAUUUUUUCUGAUAUGGUUGAACGAUUCCUUGAAGUCUUUAUGGAUGAUUUUUCUGUCUUUGGUGACUCGUUUGAUCAAUGUUUACAUCAUCUAACACUAGUUCUGCAGAGAUGUAUUGAGAAGAACUUAGUCUUAAAUUGGGAGAAGUGCCAUUUUAUGGUAAAACAAGGUAUUGUUCUCGGUCACAUCAUUUCGAGCAAAGGUAUUGAGGUUGACAAAGCCAAGGUGGAUCUCAUUUCUAAUCUUCCUCCACCUAAAACAGUCAGAGAAGUAAGAUCUUUCCUUGGACAUGCUGGUUUCUAUAGACGUUUCAUUAAAGAUUUUAGCAAAGUUUCUAGACCCUUAUGCAAUUUACUUGCUAAGGAUGUACCUUUUAUCUUUAAUGAUUCAUGUCUCAUGGCGUUUGAAAAAUUAAAGCAGUUGUUGACAUCAUCACCCAUCAUUCAGGCCCCAAACUGGAGCUUACCAUUUGAGCUCAUGUGUGAUGCAUCUGAUUAUGCAGUAGGAGCAGUAUUAGGACAAAGAGUUGAUCGAAUUCCGCAUGUUAUUUACUAUGCUAGUAUGACAUUGAAUGAUGCACAGUUGAAUUAUUCAACUACUGAAAAAGAAAUGCUAGCAGUAGUGUUUGCAUUAGAGAAAUUUCGAUCUUAUCUCAUUGGUUGUAAAAUAAUUAUAUUCACAGAUCAUGCUGCUCUUAAAUAUCUUCUCACAAAGAAAGAUGCAAAAGCUAGACUAAUUCGUUGGGUGUUACUUUUGCAGGAAUUUGACUUGGAAUUCAAAGAUAAGAAAGGGACAGAAAAUGUUGUGGCGGACCAUCUCUCUCGUCUCCAUUUUGACACAAUUACAGAGCCAUUAAUAUUGAAUGAGUCAUUCCCAGAUGAACAAUUAAUGAAUGUGGAAGUAUUACCUUGGUAUGCUGAUAUAGUUAAUUAUCUUGUUACAGGUAAACUUCCAGAGCAUUGGACCAAGCAAGACAAGGCUAAAUUCUUUGCAGAAAUAAAGAAUUUCUUUUGGGAUGACCCGUAUUUGUUCAAGUAUUGUGCAGACCAAAUUGUUAGACGAUGUGUCCCAGAAAGUGAAAUUCAGAAUAUCCUUUCAUUCUGCCAUGAACAAGCUUGUGGAGGCCAUUUCAGUGCUAAGAAAACAACGACUAAAGUUUUAAAAUGUGGUUUCUAUUGGCCAACUAUAUUUCGAGAUGCUUACACUUUUUGUUCUUCAUGUGAUAGGUGUCAACGAAUGGGGAGUAUUACACGAAGGAACAUGAUGCCACUAAAUCCAAUUUUAGUGGUUGAGAUUUUUGACGUAUGGGGUAUCGACUUCAUGGGACCCUUUCCCCCUUCUUUUGGCCAUCAAUACAUAUUGGUUGGUGUUGACUACGUCUCAAAAUGGGUAGAAGCAAUUCCAUGUAGAACCAAUGAUCACAAGGUGGUGAUAGGAUUUUUGAAAAGCAACAUUGUUUCGCGCUUUGGAUUCCCUCGAGCAAUAAUCAGUGAUGGUGGUGCCCACUUUUGUAACAAAGCAUUCAAAGCUCUUUUGACAAAGUAUUCAAUCACACACAAAGUGGUGACCCCGUAUCAUCCGCAAACCAGUGGCCAAGUUGAGAUAUCCAAUCGAGAAAUAAAGCACAUAUUAGAAAAAACGGUGAGGCCAGACAGGAAAGAUUGGUCAUUAAGACUUGAUGAUGCAUUAUGGGCAUACAGAACGGCUUUCAAGACCCCGAUUGGGAUGUCACCCUACAGGCUAGUGUAUGGAAAAGCUUGCCACCUACCUGUGGAACUCGAGCAUCGUGCGUAUUGGGCCAUCAAGAAAUUCAACUUUGACAUGCAGCAAGUCAGCUCAGAAAGAAGAUUACAACUGGCAGAACUUGAAGAAAUUCGCAAUGACGCAUACGAAAAUGCCAAGAUUUACAAGCAACAGAUGAAAAUCUUUCAUGACAAGCAAAUUAUGAGAAAAUCGUUCACUCCAGGUCAGAAAGUGCUUUUAUUCAAUUCUCGUUUGCACCUAUUCCCAGGUAAGCUACGCUCUCGAUGGUCUGGUCCCUUUAUUGUUCAUACUGUUUUUCCACAUGGGGCAAUUGAAAUUAAGGACCCAAAGAACGGUGUCACGUUUAAAGUUAAUGGUCAAAGAUUAAAGCCAUAUCUAGAGUACCAACCACAUGGAGAAGACACCGAAAUAAAUUUGAGUGACCCACCAGAUUUGAAUUGAUUUUUUCUUUUUAUUGAUUUGAUUUUUCUUUCUUUCUUUUUAUUGUUCUUUUGCUAAUUGAAAUUAUUUUUGCAUAAGUGUGUUUGUUUUACCAUUAAGUUUUUUUUUCUUAUCAUUGUUAAUCAUGAGUACCAUACUUAGACCGUUCCUCCUGAACAUUCUUAAACCACUUCAGCGUGUCAAAACUCAUCUCAAAAAGCAGAUUCAAUUUUGUAAAACACAACGCAUUUGGGCUUUACAACCACCAGAGUUAGUAGCCUAUGUUGAGGGUUUAGAACGCCAACUCAGAGACAUUGAGAGAAGUGUUUACGACAUCCAAUUGGAGCUUGAGGUAAAUUCAAUAAGAGGACGAUUUUAAUUUUCUUUGUGUGUUUUAAUUUGUUUUUCUGUUUGUGUGCUUUAGUUUGUUACCCCGGUGAAGUGGCGGAUAACGGUACUCUGUGACAAUCAAGUCGGUUACUUCAGUUUCCCAUAAUAACUGACAUUCUGAGGCAAAAGUAUGGACAGAAACGAGAUUCUAGCGAAGCUUCACAAGCGAUUCCCUUCACUUCCUCAGAAUGCCCUCCUUAUGAUCUAUAAAGCUCGGUCCGAACGCAUGCGAUUGCUCAUGAGGAAUAACAUACCUGCUGAUAUCCGUUGGUUAAUCGAGGCGAAAGUACGAUCGGCAGGUGAGUUACCUCCAAAAUUUAUUGCAUACAUGUCUGGUUGUGGUAAAGGAAAUUAUGCAAGAAAACGACGAGCUCGACGAAUUUCUGUUGCUUGUCAUAAGUGUGCCAGAAUGAGUUGCAAUAAAAACCCAUGUUCUUUAGGAAUGAUGUCUGAUAACAGGGAAGACAAGAUUCAAUUCAUUAGGGAUGGCUUGAAUAAGGAGUCAUUGGAUGAUAUCCUUUUGUCUCUUGAAACGCAUCCCAGUGGAUAUGUGCAAGGAGCGAUUCUCCAGUUAUGGCUAUUAUUCCAGAAAGAGCAUGCACGAUACAGUCUCGGGAAUCUGACUAUAAACGACCAUGUUUGCCAGUUUGUAAGAAAACUGGAUAGGAAGCCUAUCCUCGACUCAUAGAGGGCGUUCAAGCCGUUUCUGGACGUAAAACCAGAGGAAGAUGUGAGCCACAGUCGCAACUACGUGUAAAUAUCCUUUUACUUUACUGUACUUUUUCCUCCUUACUGUUUGCUUUUUUCCUUAUUACUAUUUGCUUUUUCCUUUUUACUGUUUCCUUUUUGACUCGCGAUCCACGUGCUUUACGCAUUAUUUGACACUGACAUGUUACCUCAUACACCACUAUGACCCACUAUCACCAAGACUCUUAAAUGUGAUUUCUUUUUUGUCAAGCACUCACAAAUUGUUUUUGAGAAGUAUCACAAUGGCCGCUACUCCCAAUAGACAAUUCAAGAACAUUUGUGUGCUUUCUGGAUUUACCUAUGGCAAACAUAAAGAGUUCGUGGAGGCAGCCAUAGAUCUUGGUCGAAGCAUAGCAGCGAGAAAAUUACACUUGGUGUAUGGAGGAGGUAACCGAGGGUUAUAAAAAAUGGUCUCAGAAGCAGCUUUUAUCAGAGGAAGUCAAGUGUUAGGCAUCAUCCCAAGAGUCCUAAAACCAUUGGGCAGUUCGUCUGACUCAUCAACUGGAGAAGAGUUAGUUGUCUCAGGUAUGCAAGAAAGAAUAACUGAAAUGCUUAAUCAUGCUGAUGCUUUUAUUUUCCUUCCAGGAGAUCUUGCAACACUAGAGGCACUUAUCACACUAGCAUCCUGGGCCCAUCUGCACAUCCACCAGAAACUCAUCGGUUUGUUAAAUGUCAAUAACUUUUAUGAUGGCUUUAUCGCAUUUCUUAACCAUGCAAUAAAAAACUACUUCAUUCCUUCCCAUGCGAAAAAACUUUUUAUUUGUGCUCACACUGCUAAUGAGCUACUUGAUCUGUUACAAGCUUAUAGACCGGAGCCAGACCCCUGGACCUUUGUGUUGGAGCGCCCAAAUAAUGAUGGUAACAGUAGCCGCAGUAAGAAGUACAAAUUAGAUUUAACUCUCCGCUUGUGAAUAUUUUCUUUUGUGUUGCACCACCCAGGUGAUGUCUUCUAAACUCUACUUCUUUCCUUUAAAACAUUGAGGACAAUGUUUCGUUCUGGUUGGGGGGAGGGAAUAGUCGACAAUUGUGGAAUCUUGGUUAAGUUUUUACUGAUUUUUUUUGUUGUAGAAACUAACUAUUGCUAACUUUUUGUGUUGAAGAAGGCUGAAUAUGGAGUGUAGUGACUCUAGAAACGCAUCUUCUUCACAGAGAUCAACGAUGCGUACUGUCUUCUAACAGAGGAUGGAGAGCCUCCAACUUUUCAUGAAGCUUUAAACAGUUCAGAUGUUGCUUUGUGGAAGACAGCAAUGCAGGAAGAAAUUGAAGCUCUAUACAAGAACAAGACAUGGGAACUUGUACCACUACCACACGGAAGAAAAUCCAUUGGAAACAAAUGGGUCUACAAGAUCAAACGUGAUGGUAAUGAUCAAGUGGAGCGGUAUCGUGCAAGACUGGUGGUGAAAGGAUAUGCUCAGAAAGAAGGUAUUGACUUCAACGAGAUAUUUUCUCCGGUGGUUCGACUCACAACAGUCAGAAUAGUCUUGGCAAUGUGUGCUACAUUUGACCUACAUCUAGAGCAGUUAGAUGUUAAAACUGCAUUUCUUCAUGGAGAACUUGAAGAAGAAAUUUAUAUGCUCCAACCAGAAGGUUUUGCAGAAACAGGAAAAGAGAACUUGGUUUGCAGGUUGAACAAAUCUCUAUACGGUCUCAAACAGGCACCGAUGUGUUGGUAUAAGAGAUUUGAUUCCUUCAUUAUGAGCCUUGGAUACAACAGACUCAGUUCAGACCAUUGUGCAUAUUACAAGAGGUUUAAAGAUAAUGAUUUCAUCAUUUUGCUGUUGUAUGUGGAUGACAUGUUGGUAGCAGGUCCCAACAAAGAUCGAAUCCAAGAAUUGAAGGCACAAUUGGCUAGGGAGUUUGAAAUGAAGGACUUGGGACCAGCAAACAAGAUUCUAGGGAUGCAAAUUCACCGAGACAUAAAUAACAGGAAGAUUUGGCUUUCGUAGAAGAAUUAUUUGAAGAAAAUCUUGCGGCGCUUCAACAUGCAAGAUUGUAAGUCAAUUUCUACCCCACUUCCUGUUAAUUUCAAAUUAUCCUCAAGUAUGUGUCCUAGCAAUGAAGCAGAGAGGAAGGAGAUGUCUCGAGUACCGUAUGCAUCAGCAGUGGGAAGUUUGAUAUUCGCUAUGAUAUGUACAAGACCGGACAUUGCACAAGCAGUGGGAGCAGUCAGUCGAUACAUGGUGAAUCCUGGUGGAGAGCAUUGGAUAGCUGUGAAGAUGAUUCUGAGAUACAUCAGAGGAACCUCAGAUGUUGCAUUAUGUUAUGGAGGAUCAGAGUUUACUGUCAGGGGCUAUGUGGAUUCAGAUUUUACAGGAGACCUUGAUAAAAGGAAAUCCACUACUGGUUAUGUGUUUACACUUGCGGGAGCAGCUGUAAGCUGGGUUUCGAAACUGCAGACAGUUGUGGCUUUAUCUACAACAGAAGCAUAGUACAUGGCAGCUACACAAGCUUGCAAGGAAGCUAUUUGGAUACAAAGAUUAUUGGAGGAGCUCGGGCACAAACAACAGAAAAUUCUUGUGUUUUGUGACAGUCAGAGUGCCUUGCACAUUGCAAGGAAUCCAGCCUUUCAUUCCAGGACAAAGCACAUAGGAGUUCAGUAUCAUUUCGUUCGAGAAGUAGUGGAAGAUGGAAGUGUGGAUUUACAGAAAAUCCAUACGAAGGAGAACCUAGCAGAUGUUUUGACCAAGCCGAUAAAUACUGAUAAGUUUGUCUGGAGUAGAUCAUCUUGUGGCCUAGCAGAAACGUAGGCAACAUGAUUAUGGCGAAGCAGAAAGGACGGUGUGGAGAUUGAUUGUUUUUCAAUCUAAUCUCCAAGUGGGAGAAAUGUUGAAUAUGGGGCACCACUCUUCUAGAAAUGUUGAAAAUGGGCCCUCUUCUAGAAAUGUUGAAAAUGGGCCGAAAUGCUUGAAGAGGAAAAUGGAAAAAGAAAUGUUUGAAGAAGAAAAUGAGGAACACGGUUUUGACUUUCUUGGCCAUCAUUUUGCUAUAAAUAGAAGUGCAAAUGAAGAGCUUAAGUAUUCCAUUCUGAGAGUAAUUUAGCAGUUGAGAGAGAGUUUAGAGAGCUUGAAUUUAUAAGCUCUUGUUAUAGUGAUUUUGAGAGUUUGGGUGUAUUGGAGUUUUGGGAAGUGAGCUAAAAUACUACAAUACUUGUAACUCCUUUUCACUAGUAAAAUAUUUCCUUCUGUCUUCGCCCGUGGAUGUAGGCUAAAAGCCGAACCACGUAAUUUCUGGUGUCCUCUAGUGUGCUUGUUCUUUAUUUUCUUCCAAUUUUAUUUUAUCUGCGUGUAUGCUUCACCCACCAAUUUCCUAGCAGUGGUAUCAGAGCUAUUGGUUGUAUUUUUUGGAGUCAGGAACUAUUCACGUAAUGGGUACUAUUCACGUAUAUGGCACUAUACACGUACACGAUACUAUUCACGUAUACGGUACUGUUCACGUAUACGGUACUAUUCACGUGAAACGGUGGAAGCGAUCCAAGAAUUUUGCGGUGCAAAGCAGGGAAUAGUGGUGUGAGUAAAGCAACUGUGUGGUUUUGUACAUGUCUAGGAAAGUUCUGUCACAAAGGCGAUAAGAGCUUAAGGAGUCUGGGUUUUAAGUGGGACCAUUGUGACCCCUCAAGUCUUUCCUGGGAACUUUCCUGGUGUGCAUUCUCACACAUACUCACAACUAUUCAAGGUGGUAUACUAGCUUGUGUGCAGUAUUUAUCAACAAAAUAGCGGCAAAGUAUGAAAUUGAGAAAUUUAACGGAAAUAAUUUUUCGUUGUGGAAAAUGAAGAUGAAAGCUGUAUUGAGGAAAAAUAAUUGCUUGGCAGCAAUUGGAGAAAGGCCCAUGGAGAUAACUGAUGACAAGUGGAACGAGAUAGAUGGCAACGCCAUUUCUGAUAUACACUUGGCACUUGCAGAUGGAGUAUUAUCUAGUGUGGCAGAGAAAAACACAGCGAAGGAAAUAUGGGAUACUCUUACAAAAUUGUACGAGGCCAAAUCACUACACAACAAAAUCUUCUUGAAGAGAAAACUCUAUACUCUUCGAAUGGUGGAAUCUACAAUGGUGACCGACCACAUCAACACCUUGAAGACUCUAUUUUCACAACUCACAACGUUGGGUCAUAAUAUAGAGGAAAAUGAACGUGCAGAGCUUCUACUUCAAAGUCUACCAGAUUCAUAUGAUCAACUCAUUAUCAACCUGACGAACAACAAUCCAGUGGACAGUCUAGUUUUCGACGAUGUUGCAGCCUCCAUAUUAAAUGAGGAAAGCAGGCGGAAAAAUAAGGAAAACAGACAAGCAAGUUCGCAGCAAGCGGAGGCGCUAUCAGUGACGAGAGGGAGAUCAACGGAACGUGGCCCCAGUGGGAGUCAAAAUCAUGGUAGAUCAAAAUCCAGAAGUAAGAAGAAUGUUAAAUGCUACAACUGUGGCAAGAAAGGGCACGUAAAAAUGGAGUGUUGAAGUAACCAGAAGAGAAGAGAGGGUAAAGAACCUGAGUCAUCAAAUGCUCAGGGGUGUGUAGCAAGUACCUCAGAUGAUGGCGAAAUACUCUACAGCGAGGCAACAACUGUUUCAGAAGGCAGAAAAUGACUUUCUGAUGUCUGGCUUAUAGACUCAUGAGCUACCUGGCACAUGACCUCUAGGAGAGAAUGGUUCCACACAUAUGAACCUAUCUCAGGAGGAUCUGUAUAUAUGGGUAACGAUCAUGCAUUGGAGAUCGCUGGUAUUGGUACUAUCAAAAUAAAAAUGUUUGAUGGUACAAUUCGCACAAUUGGGGAGGUACGACAUGUCAACGGCCUGAAGAAAAAUCUAUUGUCUUUGGGACAAAUAGACAAUCAUGGGUGCAAAACUCAUGUGGAGAAUGGAAUUAUGAAGAUCGUUAAAGGAGCACUUGUAUUGAUGAAGGCAGAAAAGAUCGGUGCUAAUCUAUUCAUGCUUAAAGGAGAAACACUACAGGAGGCUGAUACGUGUGUCGCAUCAAAUGGAGAAGAGUCAACGAUGAUGUGGCAUCUCAAACUUGGCCACAUGUCAGAACAAGGUUUGAAGAUUCUCUCUGAGAGAAAAUUGCUUCCGGGGCUCAAAUCGGUAAGUUUACCAUUUUGCGAGCAUUGUGUUACAAGUAAGCAGCAUAGAUUAAAAUUCAGUAGAUCUAUUGCUAGAAGUAAAUGCAUUCUAGACUUGAUUCAUUCUGAUGUUUGGGAAUCACCGGAUAUAUCCAUGGGAGGUGCAAAGUACAUGGUGACUUUCAUUGAUGAUUAUUCCAGAAGAUGUUGGGUAUAUCAAAUUAAGAAAAAGUCAGAUGUAUUUCUAGUGUUUAAAGAAUACAAAGCGCGGUUGGAACUUGAAUCUGGUAAAAAGAUCAAGUGCUUGAGGACGGAUAAUGGUGGAGAGUAUACAGAUGGCGAGUUUCUUGCUUUCUGUAAGCAAAAAGGUAUUCAGAGGCAGUUCACGGUGGCAUACACUCUUCAACAAAACGGAGUGGCGGAGCGGAUGAACAGAACUCUUACAGAAAGAAUAAGAGCUAUGUUGAGGACUGCUGGUCUACCCAAUUCAUUCUGGGAAGAAGCAGCCAAAACUGCCUGUUAUAUAGUAAAUCGAUCGCCAUCUACAGCUAUUGGGCUGAAGACAGCGAUGGAGAUGUGGACUAGAAAGCUAGCUGAUUAUUCUUACCUACAUGCAUUUGGAUGUCCUGUGUACAUAAUGUACAAUGCCCAAGAAAGAACAAAGCUGGAUCCAAAAUCUAGAAGAUGUAUCUUCUUGGGGUAUGCUGAUGGAGUAAAGGGGUAUCGUCUGUGGGACCCCACUGCCCACAAGAUCGUCAUCAGCAGAGAUGCUAUCUUUGUAAAAGAUCAACUGCAAAGGAGAGAUGAGGAUGAUGGCACUACAAAAGAAAAGUCAGAGACUGUUCCAGUAUAUGUGGAAAAUAAUCUAGAAGAUUCAGAUUCUUCUGAAGUAGCACCAGAGCACGAGGAACAAGAACCAGUCGACUCCGAGACUCCAGAAGUUUGUCGGUCAACUCGUGAGAGACGACCGCCAACGUGGCACUCAGAGUAUGUCACAGAGAUCAACGUUGCGUACUGUCUUCUAACAGAGGAUGGAGAGCCUCCAACUUUUCAUGAAGCUUUAAACAGUUCAGAUGUUGCUUUGUGGAAGACAACAAUGCAGGAAGAAAUUGAAGCUCUAUACAAGAACAAGACAUGGGAACUUGUACCACUACCACACGGAAGAAAAUCCAUUGGAAACAAAUGGGUCUACAAGAUCAAACGUGAUGGUAAUGAUCAAGUGGAGCGGUAUCGUGCAAGACUGGUGGUGAAAGGAUAUGCUCAGAAAGAAGGUAUUGACUUCAACGAGAUAUUUUCUCCGGUGGUUCGACUCACAACAGUCAGAAUAAUCUUGGCAAUGUGUGCUACAUUUGACCUACAUCUAGAGCAGUUAGAUGUUAAAACUGCAUUUCUUCAUGGAGAACUUGAAGAAGAAAUUUAUAUGCUCCAACCAGAAGGUUUUGCAGAAACAGGAAAAGAGAACUUGGUUUGCAGGUUGAACAAAUCUCUAUACGGUCUCAAACAGGCACCGAUGUGUUGGUAUAAGAGAUUUGAUUCCUUCAUUAUGAGCCUUGGAUACAACAGACUCAGUUCAGACCAUUGUGCAUAUUACAAGAGGUUUAAAGAUAAUGAUUUCAUCAUUUUGCUGUUGUAUGUGGAUGACAUGUUGGUAGCAGGUCCCAACAAAGAUCGAAUCCAAGAAUUGAAGGCACAAUUGGCUAGGGAGUUUGAAAUGAAGGACUUGGGACCAGCAAACAAGAUUCUAGGGAUGCAAAUUCACCGAGACAUAAAUAACAGGAAGAUUUGGCUUUCGUAGAAGAAUUAUUUGAAGAAAAUCUUGCGGCGCUUCAACAUGCAAGAUUGUAAGUCAAUUUCUACCCCACUUCCUGUUAAUUUCAAAUUAUCCUCAAGUAUGUGUCCUAGCAAUGAAGCAGAGAGGAAGGAGAUGUCUCGAGUACCGUAUGCAUCAGCAGUGGGAAGUUUGAUAUUCGCUAUGAUAUGUACAAGACCGGACAUUGCACAAGCAGUGGGAGCAGUCAGUCGAUACAUGGUGAAUCCUGGUGGAGAGCAUUGGAUAGCUGUGAAGAUGAUUCUGAGAUACAUCAGAGGAACCUCAGAUGUUGCAUUAUGUUAUGGAGGAUCAGAGUUUACUGUCAGGGACUAUGUGGAUUCAGAUUUUACAGGAGACCUUGAUAAAAGGAAAUCCACUACUGGUUAUGUGUUUACACUUGCGGGAGCAGCUGUAAGCUGGGUUUCGAAACUGCAGACAGUUGUGGCUUUAUCUACAACAGAAGCAUAGUACAUGGCAGCUACACAAGCUUGCAAGGAAGCUAUUUGGAUACAAAGAUUAUUGGAGGAGCUCGGGCACAAACAACAGAAAAUUCUUGUGUUUUGUGACAGUCAGAGUGCCUUGCACAUUGCAAGGAAUCCAGCCUUUCAUUCCAGGACAAAGCACAUAGGAGUUCAGUAUCAUUUCGUUCGAGAAGUAGUGGAAGAUGGAAGUGUGGAUUUACAGAAAAUCCAUACGAAGGAGAAUCUAGCAGAUGUUUUGACCAAGCCGAUAAAUACUGAUAAGUUUGUCUGGAGUAGAUCAUCUUGUGGCCUAGCAGAAACGUAGGCAACAUGAUUAUGGCGAAGCAGAAAGGACGGUGUGGAGAUUGAUUGUUUUUCAAUCUAAUCUCCAAGUGGGAGAAAUGUUGAAUAUGGGGCACCACUCUUCUAGAAAUGUUGAAAAUGGGCCCUCUUCUAGAAAUGUUGAAAAUGGGCCGAAAUGCUUGAAGAGGAAAAUGGAAAAAGAAAUGUUUGAAGAAGAAAAUGAGGAACACGGUUUUGACUUUCUUAGCCAUCAUUUUGCUAUAAAUAGAAGUGCAAAUGAAGAGCUUAAGUAUUCCAUUCUGAGAGUAAUUUAGCAGUUGAGAGAGAGUUUAGAGAGCUUGAAUUUAUAAGCUCUUGUUAUAGUGAUUUUGAGAGUUUGGGUGUAUUGGAGUUUUGGGAAGUGAGCUAAAAUACUACAAUACUUGUAACUCCUUUUCACUAGUAAAAUAUUUCCUUCUGUCUUCGCCCGUGGAUGUAGGCUAAAAGCCGAACCACGUAAUUUCUGGUGUCCUCUAGUGUGCUUGUUCUUUAUUUUCUUCCAAUUUUAUUUUAUCUGCGUGUCUGCUUCACCCACCAAUUUCCUAGCAUUAACUAAAUAUUUUUUAACCAUAUAUGUAUAGUUGGAUUAAAUAGUGGAGAUUACAACAAAACAUAUGCGAAUUAGUUGUGAUGUUGAGUUCAGAAGAUUGAAGUUAAAAAAAUUAAAGGUUUCUUGAUCAAGGGAAAUUUCAAAAGAGUGAAGCGUCUUCUAGAUCAAGACGAAAAUAAGGAAAGGGUAAGGGUGUAUUUUCAAAGUGAUUCUAUUGAAAGAUCUUUGAAGAUUACUUUCGUUAAGAGCAGGAUCCCACACUCUUGAGCCUUUGUCGUCCCAGUCAACUAUAAAGACACAUUAUUAUUGAGUAUGAACAUUGCGACUUAUAGAUCACCAAAUUUUCAAACUUAUGAUCUUCGUUGAAUCUGCAAUCCCUUUUGAAAAAAAAAAAAAAAAAAAAGGAAAACUGCAAAUAAUGAAACAAAAUUCUGUUCCUUGAUAGAGUUACGCGGCUUCAACUUGCAAGUGCUGUCGGCAUUUUCAAACUUGUAAGACCCUUCAACUUGCUUUCCAAGAUAGCUAUAAUCAAUAAUGACAACCGAAGACGGCUACGUUUGCGGUACAAAAGUUGCACCAUAUUAGACGUUCUUUUUAGGGAUGGCAAUGGGGCGGGGUGGGGGUGGGGAUGCCUACCCCAUUCCCCACCCCAUUAAAAUUUUUUGCCUCCAUUCCCCACCCCAUUCCCCAAUAAAUUUAGUGGGUUGGGGAUGGGGAAUCCCCACGUGGGGAAUGAUUCCCCCAUCCCCACCCCAUUCCCCAUUUACAUAUUUUAUAGUAAAUAUAAAAAUAUGAUUUCAGUAAAUUAAAAAUUAGAGACUUAAGAUAAAAUCAUCACAAUAUUAUAAAGUAUUUAAUUUUAAAAAAAAAUCUCUAAAAAUUUGAAACAAUAUCUUAAAAUGAUAUUAAAAGUGAAAAAUAUUUAAAGAAAGCAGCACCUUAAAAGAGAAAAGAAAAUAUAUUAAUGUUUUAAAGUUGAAAAAUAUUGUAGAAUUUUCUUUUAUUCAUAUUCUAUUUAUAUUACAUAAAAAUUAAAAAAAAAUUAUUAAUUGACAUUAUAGUUGAUAAAAUACAAAUUAUUAAAUAAGAAUUAAAAACAUAUUUAUAUAUAAUGGGGAUUGGGGUGGGGGUGGGGUGGGGAGUGCAAUACCAAACCCCACCCCGUUAACAAUUUGGGGAUUACUUUUCUCCCACUCCCCACCCCAUUCCCCAAAAAUUAUUAAAAAAUUUCCCCAUUUGGGGUGGGGCUCCAUGGGGCCCCAACCCGUGGAGGAUUUUGCCAUCCCUAGUUCUUUUUUGUUCUUAUCCGAAGUAACCGUUGGAUUCAAAGGAAAGUGAUCAGACAUUCAAUAGCUUCACACGUGGACAUUAUAGGAUACCGGUCAAAUCGGUUAGUGCUCCUCCACAUCAAACUCACAAGCAUGGCUAUCAUCGUAUCAGCUUGGAAACUUGUUACAAGUGACGAAGAGCAACAGGGUCCGCUCCUCUAGAGUCGGUUAGUGCUCAAUAAUGUUACAGGUUUUAUAAUCUAUGUAACUGGUACGAUCGCUGUCUCAAGUGGUAAACUUUUGAGGCACAAAUUUAGAACGAAAAGUUUCCAAUAAAAUAAGUUAUUUAAUUAAUUAAAUAAGAAUAAAAUGAAUUUGUAAAAAAAUUUUAAAUUUAAUUUUGAAUUAUUUUGACCAAAAUUUAAGUUUUUUUUUUUAAUUUGUUUAAGAAAAUGUGUUGUAAUUGUCUUGUUUUAAUUGGAAAAUCAAUGAAAAAAUUAUGUAAAAAAAAAAAAAAGCAAAACGCUUUGUUUUGGAUGGAGGCCAUAGAUUCCAAUAUUUCCUUAACGAAAACUACAAAAAAAUUAUCAAAGGCAUCAAUUUCUACACUCUCACCGAGCAAUACUCUUAUGCUGUGUUUACUUGCUGGAGUGGGAGUGAGGAGUGUGGAUUCCUCCCACUCCAGCGUUUACUUACUCAAAAUGGGGAGGGAUUAGGAAUCUCACUCCGUGGGCCCCAUCCAUUUUUGAAGUGGGGAGUGGGAGUGGGACUCCGAUUGGGGGAGGUGGGAGUGGGAAUCCACCCCCACCUCUCCCAUUUCUACCCUUUUUUUUAAUUUUAUGUUUUAUAAUUAAUAAAAUAAAAUAAAUAAUAUUAUAUUUAUUUGAAUAAUAUUAUUAUAUUUAUUUGAAUAAUAAUAUUAUAUUUAACUAAAUAAUAAUUUACAUUGAUUCUAAGUUAAAAUUAUUUUAAAAUAAUAUUAUUAUAUUAAUAGAGAAUUAAUAAAUAUAAUAUUAUUAUAUUUAUUUUAAAAAUAAUAGUACUAUAUUUAUUUAAUAUUAAUAAUAAUAAAUAGUUUAUUCUAAGAAAAUAUUAAUUUUGUACUAAAUAAUAUUAUUUUAUUAUUUUAUAUAAUAAUAAAUUUAAUAUAAUUAUAUUAAAUAAAAUAAAAUAACAUUUCAUUUUAUAUUAAAAUUAAAAUUAAUAAUUUAUUGUUCAUAAUUAAGAAUAUUAAUAAUUAUAAUAAAUUUACAAAUAUAAUAAAAUAAAUAUUAUUCAUUAAAUAUAUUUUUUAUUAGUUUUGUAAUUAAAAACUAUAAUUCUUUAAAUAAGGAUAAAAUUGUAAUUUGAAACUAUUUACUCCCAAUCCAAGACAAAGUAAACACAUAAAUUGAAUUCUGAUCUCCAUUCCAUACUUCUAUUCAAGUGUAAGUAAACAACCUACUCUCACUCCCACUCCACACUCUCAAUCCUAGGAUUCCCACUCCUCAGGAUUCCCAAUCCAAUCCAAAAAAUAAACGCUACCUUAACCCAGAAGGAAGUGUAUAAACCAACCCCAAUCAGUCCAUCAAUGUCGUCAACCUCAUACAGCAUAAAAAAAAUAUGUGUCCAUUAAACCGCCAUUUUUUUUUUUUGGUUAAACCACGAGGUAUCCUGGUAGGGCCCCAACUGUGGGAGGCACCUUUAAGCCCGUACCACAACCCAGACUAUAGCUCCCCGCUCGCACGUUGUGGCUAGUGCUCCCAACAAAUGCGACUUCUCUGCGACUCGAACUGGGGAGCAAACCCAGUCAAACCACUUAAGGGGGCUCCAGUUGCCAGAGGAGCCAACACUUUGUUGGUAUUAAACCGCCAUUUAAACUGACUUUAUUGAGUCAUUAGACUAUUGGUGUCAUCUUCCCAUCUCGUUGUAGCAUUUUACCGUUCAAAUCUAGUUAUCAAUUGUGGAAAAUGGGGACCAAUCUGCAAGUCUUUAAAAUAGAAAGAAACUUUAAUUGGGCACUAUGUUCACGGUAGUGGACACAGCAGCAGCUAUUUGUGCUUUAAAAAUUAUUUUACACUCUAAUUUUAAUAAAAAUAUAUAUUACAAAAUUACUUAUCAUAUAAGUUACUGGAUAAUAUAUUAUAAGUCAACAUUAUAUAAUUACUUUGAACACUUAUAUAGCCCAAUCCUAAUUCAAUUUAUUAUUCUCAUAACUUAAAUAUAAGUCAACAAUAUAAGGGGGUUGUGACAUGGGUUUAAACAUGAUUUAACAAGUGCCACCUGUGAAUUGUCAGAGAUUGUAUUUUCAUACACAUGUCAAAUUUUCAAGUCCAACAAAUUGUUAUCUUUCUAAAGAGGCUAAUAUUAUUAUUAUCUAUGCAUAGCAUGCUAUAAACAAUUCAUAUUCUGUACACAACAUAUGGACAGAGGAACAAAUCCCUGAGCUAAAAUCAUCAUAUUCUAAAAUAUUCUAUUAAAUCAACACCACAAAACGCGAACGCUAAACAGAAUUGGAGCAAUUUACCAAAGCUAUUUGUCACGCAAAGCACUAGUACCUCAGAACCCAAUUUGCAAAAAAGCACCAAAAAUGAAAAAUAACAAAUGCCCAGAUGAAAAAUCAGGAAAAAAAAAAAUGCUCAAAUCCAAAUUACAACCCCAUAAGCUGAGUUGUUCUCUUCGAACUGAAUUAAAAAAAAAUUAAAUAGGGAGAUUGACCUCAAACUUUGGAAACAGAAGCGACAGCGAUCUGUUUCUUGUCUGGAGUGUCCAUUUCUAUAAUCUACUUUGUCCGCUUUCAGUCGCUCUGCCACAGAGCUUCUUCCCUCUGAAGCUGAAGCUCACACACACUUGCAAAACGAAAGCAUUUUUUAUUGAUUGAGAGGCGGGAAGGCGGGAAAAUGAGAGAAAUUUGCAUUUGUUUUCUCUUGGUUUGGUCAUACCUGUGCGGGCCCCAGCUUGACAAGCGGUAUUAUUAUUAUUUGUAUAAUUUACAUGACGCGUGUCACGCAAUGACGAUAAAAAAUAUAUAUAUAUAUUGUUAAUUUUUCACUUAACAUUGAAAUAUCAUAUAAUUUUUCCAAUUUUAUGGUUAUUUUCUCGCCCUUAUGCCACAUUCUUUUGAUCAAAUAAUACAGUAAAACUUUUCUAUAAUCAUAAUAUUAAAGCCAAAUUAGCUUUAUUUAUGUAAAGAGGCUAUAGCUUAAUAAAGGUAAAAUUAUAAAAAUUAUUAUUUUGACUCAGUUAUCUUUAGUGUAAGUGAUAUAAAGUAUAAAUAUAUGAUAAUUAAUUAAUGAACUAUGUCAAAUACAAUAUGCUGACAAUGAUAAAAAAGAUAGACAUAAUUUCAAGAAACUAAUACAUAUAUUUAUGUAGUGCUGGGAUUAUACAAAAUCAUCUUAAAAGUGUAAAGUAUUAUUCUGAUUAAUUUAAAAUAAUUAUUAUUGGAUUCAAAUCAUGUCCUAGGCAUUUUUUCUUCUAGUUGGAGCUUCCAUUUGUUCUAGAGAUUCAAAGGCAGCAAGCUGCUUCCCCAGUGCUACUAAUUCUUCCCCGGCAUUGCAUGUGUAGCCUGAGGCUUGUCUACCAGACAAAGUUGCUCCUUCCAUACUAUCUAUGUAAUCCUGUGAGAGUGAAACCAUUUAGAAGACAUAUCUCUUUUUUUCCAAUAUUUGGAAUGAAACAAUUAUAUACAGUUACCUGUUUUGUAUAUGAGCUGGCGAGGAAGAAGUUCUUCACUGGUAUCUUUUGAUCAGGUCUGAAGGGGUCUUUACCAGGUCCCUCACCUCACAAAGAUUGCCGGAUUUUGACGACAGAUAACCAAAUAACUUCUAAACCUUGGGAUGAUGGAAAUAGAGCUAAAACCUAAUAAAAGGAACCGUGAAUGGAUAGUAUGGAUUCAUGUAUAUUAUCCAGAAAGUUGCAUGACCUUUUGUGGUACUCAGGUCACUAAAAAACGUGAGAUAAACAUCUAGGAUAAGAAAAGCAAAAAAGCAUAACCUAAUACGUAUUAUAUGAAUUGAAGGUGUCACUGAACACUACUAACCUGCUUUGCCACUCUCCUUAUGAUUUCAUCAUUUGAUAAGGGCAUAUAAGGAUCUCCAGGCGUCAAAACGCAUCUGAAAGAUAAUAUGGUUAUAGGAAGCAAGAUGGAAUACAAAGACACUUGGCAAAAGGAAGUCAAUCAGAUUCCAUGCACAAAAAAUAACUAAUAAUGACGAGGAUAAGAAAUGUUUCUUACUGGAGAAAUGAACCUUGCCCUUCUCUGUAGUAGUAUUCUGGUGAAGUGAGUGCUAGAUCUGCAAAGCAAGGGAAAUCUGCAUCUGGAGUAUAUAAAAGGUUAUCUAGCCCCACAGCUUGCUUCUAUUGCCUACAUGUUCAAUACAAGGAUCCGUUAAAAAAUGGAAAUUUCUUCAAUGCAUUAGUAAAGGGGAGUGAAGUGAAAGCUGAUUUCUUAGGCCUUCACAGAGCAUCUUGUGUUUGACAGCAAGCACUAAAGAAUAAACUCAAAGUCAGUGCUUCUAACAGAUGAUAUAAACAACAAAUUUACAAAUAUCAGGUCAUUGCAUUAGCUCCAUGCCUCCAUCAGAGCGAACAUUAAUAGAUGCGUAAAAAAAAAAUAAGAGCCAUAUGUGAAACAAUUUACCUUAGACAUGGCAAGUCCUUUGACAAAUGUUUCCCCGUUAGCAAAUUUAUCAUAAUGCAUCUCUCUGCAUCCCCACCUAAGAUGGAACCUGUUCUCACAAGAACAGACUCCAAGGUUGGGAAAAUCAAUUGAUCAUCGGAGAAAACAAACAGGAUUAACAAAUCACUACAAUGGUGUGAACCCGUAAAUACAAAUGUACCUGCCCCCUUUAUUUGCGAUAUAUUUUCUUAUUGGCCCAAUCAAAUAAACAUCCGGAGAACCCUUGAGCAUCUGUAAUAGGGAAGCCUCGGUCUUAGUCGCAAACAGUGCAAAUAUAGUAUGCAUACAACGAGCAAUGAUGUUAUCACAAUCAAUAAACCCAAGGGCAAACGCAACAGAAUCUUACAUUCUUUGGAUACUCAUCCAUGUACCACCCUUGGACAAAAACCAAUCAGAGAAGCUUAUCUGUAAGAAGAAAUGAAGUUUUAGGUAAAAUAAAAAUUUGUAGGAACAGGGAUUGAAAUUCAACAAACAAGAGCAAUAGCAUUUCUUGAUUUAUCAUAAGUCUGCACUUGAAAUUCAAGAAGUGCCUUUACAACAGGACUCAGCGCAAGAGCAAUAGCAUUUCUUGAUUUAUCAUAAGUCUGCACUUGAGCAAUAUACGAGGCAAAGUACAUCAAAAGAGAAUCCAAAAGAGGCAAGAAGCUUCAACAUGAAAAAAGGAGUACUGCCUCGUCAUACUGCUUUGCAAUCACAGUGCAAAAGAUAACAUCAACAAAAUCAAAAUCGAGCAUAAAUCCGUAUGCACUACCUUAAGCUGAUUUGUAGACAAAAAUGCAUGAAUCCCAUGUAAUGGAGCUCUAAUCGGAAACCGGAAAUCAAGUUCUGGAGUUGAAAAUCAAAAUCAUGAAUCAAAUCAGAGUUGUUAUUGAAUUAGACAAUCCAUAAACCAAUAGAAGGUGAUGUCAAACCAUCAAGCAUAACUAUUAGUUGUUUUAAGUGAUCAAGAAAUAACUAUACCACCAAUUUCACCACCCUUAUUUACAAAUUUAUGAGUAUGAUCCUUCAUGAGUAAAUUUUCGUCCGCACCGACCUGUCGACAUCCAUGAAAAACUAUCAGAUCAUAAACACAGGUUCCAGUUAAAGAGGAUCUAUGAUUCUGAUCCAUCAUGUUAUUUGAACAACAUAUUCGGAUUUUCUUACAACCCUAAGCUUUUAUCAGUUAUCAUCGCUACAAAUGAUAUGGUCAAGAGGAAUGAUAGUUCUUGUUUCAAGAAUCUCAAAUCGUAAUUCUUUUGCAUGGCUUCUGUGCUUUUAUAAUCAUUCAAACACGCAUAUCCACAACUAAGCAAGCUUUACCUUUUUUGUCAAUCGGAACAGAUUAUUGUAGCAUCCAAAGAAAACGUGCAGGCUGAUUUCAAUAUGGUUUCCACGUUUACAGACAAAUGAAGCCACUUUACCACCAAUAAAAGACCUCAACUCAUAUAUAUCCACCUGGAAGAAAGGAAAAGUUUAAAAAAAAGGAAUAAAAAUUCUUCUAAUUUCUUUCACCAUCAACAAAAUCAGAAAAACACAUACUAAUUCAAAAUGAAAUAAAGUUUGUGAAUUGAAAUAAUGCCAACUCCUAAGAAAAAUUAUGACUGCUGAUAUUUUUUCCGAAAUGCUGAUAAAAGCUUCUGCUAUUUACUUCGAAAAAAUUGAGGUUAGAAGCCUAUUUACUUGAAAUUUUGAGUUUAGGCAAGAGGAUGAAUGGUAAAAGUGAAACAUUUUAGGGAAAAAUGUACGUCAGAGGCCAAUGAAAGCAUUCAGAAGAUUGAAAUCUAAAUGAGCAAAACCCCGUGGCCUUGAUCCAACAAAUCCACUGCUGUUGACAUGCCUGCAAGCCCAGCUCCAAUAAUAGCCACUCUCAGCUUUGGUCCUCUAUAAUGUUCCGGUUCUGGUAGAAACAAACCCUUGGGAGCUGCCAAGUAUACCAUCCAAUUAUCCACAGCGAUAAUGGAAAUAUAUAUGUGUUUAAAGGUACUAAAUUCCUAAACAUGAAAUGUAUCCAAAGAGAGACACAAAGCAGAAUUGUGAAAGCAUUUCAAUUCCCAAUAAAUUUUAAGAAUACAAAAUACUCGGUCUGUUCCUCAAUUCCUUUAAUAAAAUUUCCACUAGAGGCUACGGAAGCCACUCAAUAACACUCCAAAGCCAGAUUUUAAACGUUAUCUUUAUCUUUAACUCCAAUCCAUAAACAAUUCUGCCACAAAUUCAAUCCAAAAUUGUUCAAGUGCACCGCCAAUUCUCCGUCAAUUCCCUCAAAAAUUCAUAAUUGGCAAACACUACAAACCCAAAAGAGCUUCCAGCAAUAAACGCAUAAAAAUCCACCAAGCAACAGAAAACAAAAUACCCAGAAACCAGAAAAGCCAAAAGAUCAAUGCUUGGCAAACAAGCAAAUCAAAUAAAACAAAAAGAAGAGAAAUUUACCAUUAACGCUCAUAUCAGAAACAUUAGCGUCCAAAGAAGCCCGUACACGGAAUCUUGGACCCUUCACUUGAACCCGAGACCAUGUAACGCCAGUAACUGAAGUUGCAGGAAACAGAACUGAAGAACCCAUAUUGCAAAUCCUGAGCUGAAAUCAAAGAAAUUCAAUUGGAACUCAAUUCAGCUCAACCGAGCGGCGCUCUCUUUUGCUUCAAUAACAAAGUAUUUUUCUUUCAUAUCAACAAAGAUUUGUCAACAUCAACAAAAUUUAACUAAGAAACUAAAAUAAUGAGGUAUCUUUGAGUUUAAGAAUCUAACAAGAUGCUAAGGAAGAGAGUUUUGUCAGGGAACUGUUUCGGAGAGGUUGGCCAAGUGGUUCUUUGUUUUUUUCUUCUUUUUUGGCCCUUUUCAUUAAUACACAACAGUAGUACUCGUGAAGAGCACAAAAUGUUGGUGACUUUGUCACUAACGAUACCAAAGUGGAGUGACCAGAGCAACCAACUAAAUUUUAAAGAGAGGGAGUGAUAAGUAAUAUUUUCUUUGGGUGAUUAAUUAAUUUAUUAUCAAAUAAUUUUAUUUAUUUAAUUAAACGACAUCCUUAUCUUUGUACAAGGCUGAUGAAAGACGACGAUGUUGUGUUGUCACAUAUUUUUGGGCCGACCGUUUCUUGUUUCGGCUUAAAUGAGGCUUUUGUAAUUUUGUGCUGUUUUUUAACUGAGUAUUUUGUGCUAAAUUACGCCAAAGAAAAAGUGUAAUUGUUAAAAGAUCUGCUGACACUCAUAACCUCUUAAGCGGAAUUUAUAAUGUGACAGUAUUGAUAUCUAAGUUCAUAAUAUCUAUGGGAGUGAUAAAACGAAUAAAUGAAUCGAAUCGUAAAUGAAUUUAGUUAAAAUUUAAUGGAUUUGAAUUCGAUGUGUUAUCAAGCGAAUCAUAAUUUUAAGAUUCAAACUCAAUUCAUUUAUUUAAUGGAUAUCUAUUUAAUUCGUUUAUUGUAAAAACUUAAACAAAUUGAGUUGAAUUUGGAUUCGUUUACAAUUUGUUUAAUUCAUUUAUGCAAAAUUAAUAAUAAAUCAAUCAAAUGUGGAUUUGUUUAAAAAAUAAUAAUAAUUAAUAAAAAAAAUAAAGUAAAAUAAAAUAUAAAAAAUCAUAAAAUUAACAACCUACAAAAUACAAACAAAUUAGUGACCCCAAACUCGGAUUCGAUUCAUUUAUUUAAUGAAUUGAAUUGAAUUCACUUAUUUGUUAAUGAAUUAUUUUUUUAAAAUUCAGACCUAUUUAAUUUGAAUCUAAUAAACAAAUCCUAACCUAAAUUGCCAUCUCUAAAUAUGAUGGACCUACUUAAAAUAUAUGAAUACCAAAAUGUGUGGGCUAAAAAGUGGUUUACCAUGCAGCAAUAAGAAUUUUAAGCUCUCUUUUCUUAUGUCACCCAAGGCAUUGGCUGGAUGGCCAAACAGCAGAGUUCAAGUCUACAAUAGAGAAUCGAAAUUUUCCUUUGUAAAUGUUCGUAAGUAUUUAGCAUAGAUUUUUAAGUUAUUCUUGAUAGAUCCCCUACCACAUACGCUAUAAUAUUUCUCUUCUUUUAAUUUAAAAGUAAAUCAUGCAUAAUAACGGGUUUGUAAAGAAAUGAAAUUUCUGGUAAUUAACUGUCAAAAAAAAAGGAUGGAUUAAGCGAAAGAAGUUAAUAUAGAGUUAAGUCGAGUACUUGACAAUAGGGGUGUUCGCGGAUCGGAUUUUACAGAUUAGACAUCAAUCUAUAUCUGAUCCAUAAUUUUACGGAUUAUAAUUUUUCAAUCCAAUCCAAUCCACAGAUUGAUAUAAUUCAAUUCAAAUCCAAUCCAUACAUCUGCAGAUCGGAUGCGAAUUUGACUCAAUCCAUAUCCAAUCCAUAAGUCUGCGGAUCGGAUGCGGAUUUGACUCAAUCCAUAUCCAAUCCACCAUUUUGCGCAUUAGUUUUCGAAUUAAAAAUUUUUAGUUCUCUCCAACUAAUGAAAUAAAAAAAAAAUCUAAUAUAAAAAUAAUUUUGCUACCAAUUAAAUUUAAAAUUGAAUAAAAUUUAAAUAAAUUAAUUGUUUAAAUAAAGCUAAAAAAAUACAUUUAAAAUUUUAAAAUAUAACACAUCGAGACUAAUUAUUCAAAUAAAGCUACAAUAAUACGUUCAAAGUUUCAAAAUAUAAUACACCAAGCUUAAUUGUUCAAAUAAAGUUACAAUAAUACGUUAAUAUAACACCGAAAUUAAUUAUUGAAAUAAAGCCACAAUUAAUUGAAAUGACGAAGCUUCGGAAACCAAACACAGUCUAAUCCUUUACCAGGGCUGUUGCGCUUGUCGAAAAGUGGUGAUUACGGAGCCGUCCACGAUGGGAACUAGGAGAAGUCGUCGAGUGGCAAUCUUGAAGGUUGUGAUAAUGAAAUUGUUCAGCUGGAACCAGUGAAUGUGAAGUGGCUCGGUGGACUUGGGAAAGAAGAUGGCUUGCUCUCGCUGUAAUCGCGCGGCCGAUGUCCUUCAAAUCCGUGUCGAGAGUGUAUCCAACCAGUAUUGAAUGUUGCUAGUGUGUGUCAUGGCGGGGAAGCUUAGGGUUUUUUGUUUGCAAAUUAUUUGUGACUUAGCGUCAUGUUACUUUACUUUUGGGUGACUUUGCAAAUUGUUGGUGAUUUGGCGUUAUGUUACUUUGCUUUUGCUAAUGUGUGUGACUUUGCUUUUAUUUUGUUUUACAAUGUCUACAAGUUAUAUUUGUAUAUUUGAUUAUUUAAUUAUUUUUUAUUUUAUAUUAUUAUUGGGUAAUGGCUAAGAUAUGUUAUAGUGUUUAUGUAACUAUGUAAUGUCACAUUUAUAAUUUUUUUAAUUAAAUUUAUAAUAAUUUUUUAAUUAUAUAUAAAUAUAUAUAAUUAAAAAAUUAUUAUAAAUAUAUAUAAUAUUAUUAGAAACUAUUAACAACGGCACAAAAUGCCUGUGAUAAUGAAACAAUGUGCCAUCCUUAAACUAAUAUUAUUAGAAACUAUAAGUGAAAGUUUUCAGAAAACACGCACGUGAUAAGUUUUCUCCUUUGUUUUGAUUUACGCGAGAGAUAGUUGUAAAGCGUAAAAUUUUAAAAUCCGUAACAAAACAAAAACUUACAUGGGUUGGGCGCACCAUGUGCAUACCAAAUUAGAAUAAUUGACGAAUCGUAAUAAAAAAUUUAUAUAUAAGAAUUGAAUGAGAUCCAUGGUUCACAAUUGCAAAUUAAAGGUUGGUUUUAUAAUAAAAAUCUUUUUGUGCAUACCAAAUUAGAAAAGAUUAUAAGUAAAUUAAGAUUUUCAAAAUUUGACUAGUAUUAUAUUACGUUCAUCAAUAAAAUAUAAAUUUGUUAUAUAUAUAUUUUAUUCUGUAACCAAUGCUUUCAAAAACUUUAUACUUAUAUGUUUGAACAACUUUUUUCGUUUUCUAUUUAUAUACGAUAUCAUUUAUGUUUACAUAAAUUUUCAUAUGUACCCAAAUUAAGCAUUAAAUACACACACUUUGGUAAGACACAUUAAUUUCUAGUAUCAGACAAUGAUAUUAUAUUGAAUGUAAUGCUUCAAUGAAUUUUAUUACUAUAUACUAAAAUACUCAACGAUCUCCAUUAAAAAAAGAAAAGAAAUUGCAUGAUUAGAAUGAUUAAAGAUCAUUUGAUGAGGAGUUUCAUCAUUAACUGUGUCGAAACACAGCAGCAAUCCACAAUACACUUAACAGGAGAGGGGCACACAAGCAUGCAUGAAUCUUCCACCAUUAAACCUGAAAUCAUAAAAUAAAAGAAACAAGAUGAGUGUUGUUUUACGGUCUGAAAGCCGAUUCCAAUUAAUAAUAAUAAUAGUAAUAGUAAUAAACCUUUGUUAAUAAUUACUACUAGUUGUCUCUGCCUUUUGCAUCUUCCUCCUUUGUAUCAUCGUCCUCUUCCAAUCACACGGCUAGACCAGUAUGUCUCGAGAAUCUUUACUGCCUUCUCAGAGAUCCCGUUGACGUCACGACUUCGUAGAUUUUCAAUCUUUUCUAAUCCCUCAGCCUCCUCAACCAACUGGGCAUAUUGAUUAAAAUCUCCAACGGCGGUACCCGUAUUCAUUUCAGCUACCCCGACCUUCAAAAUGUUCUCUAAUCCUUCUAAGCAAACAGUGACGAUCUUUGGAUCAGCACAUUGAAGGAGACCACACAAUGGUUUUAUACACCCCGUUCUCACGAGGUACUUGAUUUGAUCAUGAGUGCCACGCGAGCUGGCAUUCGAAAUUGCCCAAGCAGCCUCCUUCUUUGUAUCAAAUUCAGCAUUUUGAAGUAGAUUGACAAUGGGACCAAUUAAGCCGGAAUCAAUUACCGCCUGAAUCUGCUCCCUGUUUCCAGCUGUAAUAUUUGAAAUAAUCCAGCUAAUCUUCUUCUUGAUGAUCUCUUCAUGAUUAUGGACUAAAAUGUCCAAAAAGUAUGGCAGUGCACCACAGUUAAUUAUAUACUGAGUCUGGAAAUCAUCUCCCGUCACAAUAUUUCCAACAGUCCCCAGGGCAGGGGCAAGCACUGAGGAUGAUGAGUGACCAAGGAGCUCAACAAGUCGUGGACAGACACCUGCCUCGAUCACAGCUUGAAUUUUGUCAUUCGUACCAUCAGCAAGAUACGCGAGUGUCCAACAGGCAUAUGUCAAGACCUCUUCAUCGUUUGAACGAAUAAGCUGUGCAAGCGCCGGGAGAGCUGGCCUUACCUGAUCAAAUGGUGGCUGUGGCAUGCCCCUGCAUAAAUUAGACAAUGUCCAUGUGGCAGUUCUCAGCAUUGAAAGCUUAGUGUGGUCCUUUAAUUGCUCCAGCACUGGAAUCAAAGCUUCUUCGCGAAGCACAAGAUUACGGCAUCCAAGUGAGUCACCACCAAUAUUUCCCAUUGCCCAAACAGCCUGCUCGCGGACAUCCUCACUUGGAGAAGCAAGUAGUUUCACAAAUAUUGGAACAGCACCGUCGUCAAUCACCACCUUAGUGUUCUCUGAAGUUCCAGAAGCAAUGUUUGUAAGAGCCCAAGCAGCCUGAAAAUGAAGUUGCGGAUAGUCUACCCUCAUAAGAAACUCAACAAAGCGCGGGACAACGCCAGAUUGUAUGACUUCAUCAAUUUGUGGACUCCUCUCAAUCGAAAGUAGAUUUCGGAACCAAGUAGUUGCUUCCAGCUGCAAGCCGCUGUCAUCUGACCAAACCCCAGCAACCAUCCUGUGAAAACUCGCGUACUUGUUUUAGGAGCAGGAGCAGGAGGAGGAAAUUAAGUUAGGGAUUUGGAGUGAGAGUGAAGGUGGAGAAAAAGCAAGAGAGGGAAAAAGUUGAUUGUUGAGAAAUAUAUACCUUUCGUAUGGUUGUGUUAAGGUCGUCCUUCCAAUCCCAACAUGCUUCACCCCGCCGCUCCACUUUGUGUAAUUUGGGUGUACUUAAUUUUCCUUCAGAGAAAAUCUUCAUAUCGGGGCAAUCAUCCACCACUAAUCUUUCCAAAGAUGGGAAAUUGAAAGCACAAUUGCCAGAGCAGAAGCUUGUCAGACUUUCUAAGAGUAAAAGCUUCAACUCCUUCAAUUCUCUGAAAGUAAUAACCUCAUCUUGUGCUACAACAUCAUCCCCCAGUACUAUUUCUUUUAUCUUAUCGCAUGAUGCUAUCUCCAUAUAUCUAAGUCUCACCAGAGUCUUUGCAACUGAGGAUGUUAUUACGAUUUUCAAGUUGUUGCAACGCGAUACCACCAGAUUUGUAAGAUUCUGAAAGGAUGUCGACGAUGGCACUAGAUUGACCAAACGGUCACACCCCUUUACACGUAGAAUAACCAAGUUGUUCGUAACAGAGGACUCCUCUAUCAAAAUGUGCUCCAGUUGAUAUUUUGCUUCUAUUAUUUCUACCCUCAUCCCAUUUUCAACCUUCUCUUCCGGCAACCAAGCAUCAAGUCCUCCUAUUUGGAGGAGUUUCAUUGUGUGAAGUCUCUGGAGGAAGUCACCAAGCGAUAAAAUAGUCCGCUCAUCAUCCAACUCCACAAAAAUAUAUUUUAGUUUGCAAAGCAAGUCUUCAGAAAAUAGAUAUUUAUUUGUUACUACGUGCUUUGCAUCAACUUUCAACUCUUCCAAAUUAGGGAAUACCUGGGAGAUUGAUCAGAGCCCAAAAAAAAAAAAAUACAAGAUGAAUCAAUUGAUGAGAAUUAUAAGUUACCACUAAUUUAUAAAAUAUAUUUUAUAAAUUAGAAUAAUUAUGAAUGAAUACUAUACACUAAUCUAGAAUAAUUAUGAAUGAAUACUAUACACUAAUCUGUAAGAGAGUUACGUUGCUAACAAUUUGACUUUUAGUAAGAAACCAAGCGAUAAAGGCAAAGGCAAUAUAACUCUAAACUCUAUGAUAUAAACUCUCACAGAAUAAGAAUUGAAAAAUUGAUUAUAAAAUUCUUGUACGUACCCUUUCCGUGAAGAUACUAGUAGUUCUUUUGUAUCUCGCCAUGAAUUCAGGACAUGCAGAUAUCCAUAAUUCUUUCAAGGAUGGAAAUUCAAGAAUAUCAAGAUCUCCAGUGCAGAAGCUUGUGAUCUUUUCAAGAUCAGACAUCUCCAGAUAUUGCAACAGAGGAAACAUUACAAUAUUAUUCUUCCUUUCUUCUUGGUUGUCCACGACUAUUAACUCUUCCAGGACAGGACAUUUACUUAUCUCAAUGCUUUGGAGUCGAACAAAGCUACUAACAGUAGAAGAUGAAAAUAGACAUCUUAAAUUCAUACAUCCGUGUAGGAUCAAGCGUGUUAAAUUCUGAUUACCACAAGACAUGACUGUAACUGGGCUCAGCCGAAUCCUCCCAACAUUUAUUGAAUCCAACGUCAACUUCUCUAACUCUGGUAACCGAACCUGCUCGAACAAAAAAUUAACUUGUUAAUUGCAAGUAAACGAUCAUUGAUUAUAAAAUUCUUGUACGUACCCUUUCCGUGAAGAUACUAGUAGUUCUUUUGUAUCUCGCCAUGAAUUCAGGACAUGCAUAUAUCCAUAAUUCUUUCAAGGAUGGAAAUUCAAGAAUAUCAAGAUCUCCAGUGCAGAAGCUUGUGAUCUUUUCAAGAUCAGACAUCCCCAGAUAUUGCAACUGAGGAAACAUUACAAUAUUUUUCUUCCUUUCUUCUUGGUUGUCCAAGACUAUUAACUCUUCCAGGACAGGACAUUUACUUAUCUCAAUGCUUUGGAGUCGAACAAAGCUACUAACAGUAGAAGAUGAAAAUAGACAUCUUAAAUUCAUACAUCCGUGCAGGUCCAAGUGUGUUAAAUUCUGAAUACCACAAGACAUGACUGUAACUUGGCUCGGCCAAAUCCUCUCAACAUUUAUUGACACCAACUCCAACUUCUCUAACUCUGGUAAUGCAACCUGCACGAUCAAAAAAUUAACUUGUUAAUUACAAGCAACAAUGAUUUCUGUUGAUGGACAAAUCAAUAAAAUUACUCUUUCUCUGGUUAUAGUUCUUUUCAGUUUUUCAUACAAACAACCGUUAAUCAAGUUUUCCAAAUUAUUCCUUACUAAAUGUAUAGAUUUAGACGGCGGCUAAUAUAAUUCAUAUUGCAAAUAUUUUUUGAUUGUAACGAAUUUUGUAAUAUUAAAUUUUGGUUGAUUAACAAUAGGACCUACUGUCCAGCGCGAGCAGUUCUCGGGAUUUAACUACUGGCACCUCGAUUAUAUAAAAAUUUGGAAUAUUUUCAAAGGAAAUCACAUAAUUCCCCCUUGCAAAUAGUAAUUUCAUUAAUUGCCGCGGGUUCACAUAUAAUUCUAAGAAAUUAGGCGAGAAGAGUCUCAUCAACAAUCAAUCAGCAGAUAUCACGUUUGGCAGAUCAUCAUGAUUUCCUCAGAUGCUAGAGAAUCAAAGUGAUUUCCGCUCAUGCAGGAGUGGACACAUUAUCUUAGAGCAUACCUCACUGAGAUCUUUUAAAAAAUUUAUAUUAUAAAGUGAACAACAUAUUUAGUAUAGAUUUAGACGGCGGCUAAUAUAAGUUAUAUGUAUUCUAAUGACGUAUAUUAAAGAAAAUGACUAACCAUAAUUUCAAUCAACUUAUUAGUCUAUAUAUAUAUAUAUAAUAUAUAUUCAGCGAUUACAACAUAUUUAGUAUUCCAUAACAUGAUGUUUAUAAUAAUAAUUAUUAUUAAUUCACUUAUUGUGUCAGAGUACCUUUUCUUUCUCUAAGAAUGUAUUUGUUACACCCCACUAUACUUCGGAUGAAAAAUUUAGAAUAAUUGUGAAAUAUAAUUAUUAAUCACUCUUUGCCAUAUUUGUUACCAAACAGGAAUAUAACAAAGAAAAAAAACAAAAAUUAUAGAGAAUUAAUAAGACGAUUGACUUAUUAAUAACUGACCUUCUCAGGGAAAAGCGUAUUAGAAAUUUGGACAUUGUCCUCCAAAAUGAUUUCAUGUGACUGCAAAUCAUUAGCUGAUUCCUCUUGUCUCUGUUGACAUUGCAGGUGUCUUGAUUUAAGAGUGUAAACUUAAUUGUGAACACAAUCUUAAUUAAUGCACUUGUCUCUGUUUUACAUUGCAGAUGUCUUGAUUUUAGAGCGUAAACUUAAUUGUGAGCACAAUCUUAAUGCAUAGAUAUAAAAUCUUUAAAAAUGAGUACAAUCAACUUAGCACUAAAUCCAAAUUUGAUAUUUUGGAUUCCAUGAUUAAGAUUUUUUAAAUAAAAAUUUAAUAGAGUUAAUUUAAAAAUAAAAAUUAAAUGUGAAAAAUAAACUUGCAAUUAUGGAUUUAAUUUUGAUAAAUAAUGAGGUUCCGCCUAUGUUGCAACAGUUGCAACAUACCACUUCUUUUGUCAUUUUGUAAUUUAGCCAUUGGAUCCAAGACAAGAAUGGUAAAAGCAAAUCUAACGGCAGAGUGUAUUUAUUUAGGUUAUUUUCAUUGUAAUCCCUCUUGUUUUCUGAAAUGUCAGGAAAAAACAUAAUUAUUAUUUUUUUAUUUAUUGGCUUAGUUGUUAAAUGAUAUGAAUAAGAAGUAGGAAAUUUAAGAGGACUUUUAUUAUUGAUAUUAUGUAAUUACAAUGCAUGAUUCAAUACUAGUUUAUAAGAGUCACAACUUGUUAAAUAUAAAAUAAAGUUUAUGUUUGCAUCCUAACUUCAAAAAGAUAAAUACGUUUAUUUAUUCCACAAAUUAAUAAAUAUUUCAUAUUUUUUUAAUUAUUACUAUCAUUUCUAGAUCUACUCUCAUUAUGUAAAUUUAUUAAAAAUUAUAUUUAAUUAUUAUUUUAUAUUAAUUAUUAAUAUAUAAAUAUAAUAUGAUAUAAUAAAAUAAUAUUAUAAUAUAAUUUAUUUUUAAUAUUUUAAUUAUUAUAGUAAAAAUAAAAAUAUAAUAAAAAUAUAUUUUUAAUAUUUCAAUUAAGAAAAAUUUUAGCACAUUGUAGUGAAUUAUAUAAUUGACCACAAUCUAACUUUUAAAACUUCCAAACAUAGGUAAGUAAUAAAUUAAUGUGAACAAUAUUAUAACAAUAUACAAUACUGUGUUCUAAACACAUUCUAAUGGUGCGUUUAUUAAAUAAGAAUCGAAAUGAGCUAGAAUCAUAAUAAGGAAUCGGAAUGAACAACAUUCCCAUUGAUGUGUUUACUUUUUUUUAUAAUUGGAAUAAACUAUUAUAAGUUAUUAAAAUGCCCUUUGAUAAUUGUGUCCCUAAUAUUAUUUGUAUCUAUUAUAAUUAAAACAAUAAUAAUAAUAAUAAAACUAAAAAUAAUAAUUAUGAAAAUAAUGUUAAUUAAAACAAAAAAUUAAUAAAAUUUAACAACAAUAAUAAUAACAACAACAACAAAAUUAACUGAAAUAAUAAUAUUAAUAAUGAUAAUAAUAAUUAUUAUUAAUAAGUUUUAAUAAUAAUAUUAUUAAUAAAAAUAAUAACAACAUUAAUUAAUAAUAAUGAAAAUAAAAAAGUUAAUAUAUUUUAAUAAUAACAUUAAUUUUAAUCAUAACAAGAUAAAUAUUAAUAAUAAUGAAUUAAUUACAGUAUAAUAGCAAUUAAAAUAAUAAAAGUAAUAAAUUUUAAUAAUAAUAAUAAUGACAAUAAUAAUCAUAAAUAAUAAUAAUUAAAAUAAUAAAAUUUAAUAGCAAUAUAACUCUUAAGCUUUAUGAUUUAAACUUUCACAGUACAUACAUAAGAAUUGAAAAAAUGAUUAUAAAAUUCUUGUACGUACCCUUUCCGUCAAGAUAUUAGUAGUUCUUUUGUAUCUCGCCAUGAAUUCAGGACAUGCAGAUAUCCAUAAUUCUUUCAAGGAUGGAAAUUCAAGAAUAUCAAGAUCUCCAGUGCAGAAGCUUGUGAUCUUUUCAAGAUCAGACAUCUCCAGAUAUUGCAACUGAGGAAACAUUACAAUAUUAUUCUUCCUUUCUUCUUGGUUGUCCACGACUAUUAACUCUUCCAGGACAGGACAUUUACUUAUCUCAAUGCUUUGGAGUCGAACAAAGCUACUAACAGUAGAAGAUGAAAAUAGACAUCUUAAAUUCAUACAUCCGUGCAGGAUCAAGCGUGUUAAAUUCUGAUUACCACAAGACAUGACUGUAACUUGGCUCGGCCAAAUCCUCUCAACAUUUAUUGACACCAACUCCAACUUCUCUAACUCUGGUAAUGCAACCUGCACGAUCAAAAAAUUAACUUGUUAAUUACAAGCAACAAUGAUUUCUGUUGAUGGACAAAUCAAUAAAAUUACUCUUUCUCUGGUUAUAGUUCUUUUCAGUUUUUCAUACAAACAACCGUUAAUCAAGUUUUCCAAAUUAUUCCUUACUAAAUGUAUAGAUUUAGACGGCGGCUAAUAUAAUUCAUAUUGCAAAUAUUUUUUGAUUGUAACGAAUUUUGUAAUAUUAAAUUUUGGUUGAUUAACAAUAGGACCUAGUGUCCAGCGCGAGCAGUUCUCGGGAUUUAACUACUGGCACCUCGAUUAUAUAAAAAUUUGGAAUAUUUUCAAAGGAAAUCACAUAAUUGCCCCUUGCAAAUAGUAAUUAUCAUUAAUUGCCGCGGGUUCACAUAUAAUUCUAAGAAAUUAGGCGAGAAGAGUCUCAUCAACAAUCAAUCAGCAGAUAUCACGUUUGGCAGAUCAUCAUGAUUUCCUCAGAUGCUAGAGAAUCAACGUGAUUUCCGCUCAUGCAGGAGUGGACACAUUAUCUUAGAGCAUCCCUCACUGAGAUCUUUUAAAAAAUUUAUAUUAUAAAGUGAACAACAUAUUUAGUAUAGAUUUAGACGGCGGCUAAUAUAAUUUAUAUGUGUUCUAAUGAUGUAUAUUAAAGAAAAUGACUAACCAUAAUUUCAAUCAACUUAUUAGUCUAUAUAUAUAUAUAUAUAAUAUAUAUUCAGCGAUUACAACAUAUUUAGUAUUCCAUAACAUGAUGUUUAUAAUAAUAAUUAUUAUUAAUUCACUUAUUGUGUCAGAGUACCUUUUCUUUCUCUAAGAAUGUAUUUGUUACACCCCACUAUACUUCGGAUGAAAAAUUUAGAAUAAUUGUGAAAUAUAAUUAUUAAUCACUCUUUGCCAUAUUUGUUACCAAACAGGAAUAUAACAAAGAAAAAAAACAAAAAUUAUAGAGAAUUAAUAAGACGAUUGACUUAUUAAUAACUGACCUUCUCAGGGAAAAGCGUAUUAGAAAUUUGGACAUUGUCCUCCAAAAUGAUUUCAUGUGACUGCAAAUCAUUAGCUGAUUCCUCUUGUCUCUGUUGACAUUGCAGGUGUCUUGAUUUAAGAGUGUAAACUUAAUUGUGAACACAAUCUUAAUUAAUGCAUAGAUACAAGAUGUUUAAAAAUUAGUAUAAUAAACUUAGCACUAAAUCCAAAUUUGAUAUUUCGGAUUCCAUGAUUAAGAUUUUUUAAAUAAAAAUUUAAUAGAGUUAAUUUAAAAAUAAAAAUUAAAUAUGAAAAAUAAACUUGCAAUUAUGGAUUUAAUUUUGAUAAAUAAUGAAUGUUCUCUUUAUAUAUUUUUUUAAAAGGUAAAAGAGCGUACAAAACCCAAAUUCAUUUUUUUAGUCCCUUACUCUCCCAUGAUUCAAACUUCACUUUUUUUUUCUUUUUCUUUUUUUUCUUUUUUUGUUGAGAGAAAAGAGAAGAAGGAUAUUACAAAGCAUGAAGCUCGUGCAAUAUAAGGGCAAUUAUGGUUUUUUCUUUAAAUUAAAAUGGUAAGAUUCUGAAGCUAAAAGAUUAAAAUAUUAAUUAAAUUGCAAACAUUAAAGAUUUUUUUUCCAAAAUUGGUUGCUUUGAAAAUGAGAAUAAUAUAAUAUUUGAAGACUUUUUCAAAAUUAAUUACUGUGAUGCACUAGAAAUUUAUAGCUUUAGUCUAAUGUAUAAAUUGACAAAACGAUAUUAGAAUCCCAGGUGAAAAGAACCCUCUCAUACCAUUUUCUUAAAUUAGGAAUGAUCAUACCUCUGACUCUGCCGGACUGAGGGCGAGGCGUGAACCCCUCAUACGGAGACGCUUGAGAUGGGAAGAGCCUACUUUGACUAACUCGUUACGAAAAUAAUCGACAUCUUGCUCUUGCAAUCUACGUAAUUCAAGGUCUUCAAUUCUCUGCAGUUGCACGAUCAGCGAAUCCUUCAAGCGAAUCUUGUCAUUUAGCUCGAGUCUGAAUUCACGACACCAAAUGCCAGUGCUCU
This 42535-nucleotide long non-coding RNA is filed under the name Citrus x clementina. RNAcentral's name for it is "Citrus clementina (C. clementina) long non-coding RNA (CCLE_LNC002910)". Lineage: Eukaryota; Viridiplantae; Streptophyta; Magnoliopsida; Sapindales; Rutaceae. The record is from RNAcentral.